AGGGAAGCCAGCAUGAGCCUUCUACAGAGCUGGUUCCAACACAGGUAUGACACCAGCUCUCUCAUCACCAGUACAAAGCACCUUGCUAGGUAUGGUGGAGAUCCAGGAUGUGAGAUUCCAGGCGAUUCUGCGCAGACUGAAUAGAAGCUCAUUCUGGAUCGAUGCAGUUCUAAGUACCCAGAACACACUGUGGUUUCAGAAGAGCCAGUGCUUUCACAGCUCCAGGCCGCCUGCAACAGAGAUGGGGACAGGGAGCACCCAAAUGGUUGAUAAUAAAAAGCUA
Molecule: long non-coding RNA, 283 nt
Filed under: Homo sapiens (human)
Lineage: Eukaryota; Metazoa; Chordata; Mammalia; Primates; Hominidae
Description: HSALNT0052746
Source: RNAcentral